RNAcentral lists this ribosomal RNA (376 nucleotides) under Staphylococcus aureus. RNAcentral describes it as "bacterial SSU rRNA". It matches the Rfam family "Bacterial small subunit ribosomal RNA", at positions 210 to 578 of the family's 1533-position model. The record is from RNAcentral. Lineage: Bacteria; Bacillati; Bacillota; Bacilli; Caryophanales; Staphylococcaceae.
UGCUGUCACUUAUAGAUGGAUCCGCGCUGCAUUAGCUAGUUGGUAAGGUAACGGCUUACCAAGGCAACGAUGCAUAGCCGACCUGAGAGGGUGAUCGGCCACACUGGAACUGAGACACGGUCCAGACUCCUACGGGAGGCAGCAGUAGGGAAUCUUCCGCAAUGGGCGAAAGCCUGACGGAGCAACGCCGCGUGAGUGAUGAAGGUCUUCGGAUCGUAAAACUCUGUUAUUAGGGAAGAACAUAUGUGUAAGUAACUGUGCACAUCUUGACGGUACCUAAUCAGAAAGCCACGGCUAACUACGUGCCAGCAGCCGCGGUAAUACGUAGGUGGCAAGCGUUAUCCGGAAUUAUUGGGCGUAAAGCGCGCGUAGGCGG